Molecule: ribosomal RNA, 506 nt
Filed under: uncultured bacterium
Lineage: Bacteria
Description: partial 16S ribosomal RNA
Rfam family: Bacterial small subunit ribosomal RNA
Source: RNAcentral
GAUGAACGCUAGCUACAGGCUUAACACAUGCAAGUCGAGGGGUAACGAGAGGAAAGCUUGCUUUCCUUGUCGACGACCGGCGCACGGGUGAGUAACGCGUAUCCAACCUGCCCCCAACUAGGGAAUAACCUUGCGAAAGUAAGACUAAUACCCUAUAAUUUCCUCAGAUGCCAUCUGACGAGGAAUAAAGAUUUAUCGGUUGUGGAUGGGGAUGCGUCUGAUUAGCUUGUUGGCGGGGUAACGGCCCACCAAGGCAACGAUCAGUAGGGGUUCUGAGAGGAAGGUCCCCAACAUUGGAACUGAGACAAGGUCCAAACUCCUACGGGAGGCAGCAGUGAGGAAUAUUGGUCAAUGGGCGGAAGCCUGAACCAGCCAAGUAGCGUGCAGGAUGACGGCCCUAUGGGUUGUAAACUGCUUUUAUACAGGAAUAAAGUUGGCCACGUGUGGUUAUUUGUAGGUACUGUAUGAAUAAGGACCGGCAAAUUCCGUGCCAGCCGCCGCCGUAA